UGUAGUCUGUCCUGUACAUUUAUUAUUACCGCUAACCUUUUCCUCUGCUCUGCUCACAUCCACCGUCACUUUCCUGCCACUCUUUCCUACUCGCUACGUAAACAUACUACGGACGAGAGCAUAUCGACCAGUCGACCAGCAGACUACAGCCCUACUAACUGGUAGAGAUGUCCUGAGCUGAUAUCUUAAAAGAUUGGUAUUAGCUAAAAUAAAAUAAAAUUGCCCAGACAUGCAAGUGAAAAUUAGAGUGUGAUUGUUUGAGCAAGUGACUGAAUUUUGACGUCUUGGUUGGCAAAAUACACGGAUUCACUAAACUCUAAUUGUAAUGUUCUUUCUCAUCGGCGAAGAGCAGCAUCGUACAAAACAUUCAGCUAGCAGCUUAGUUGGCACUGACCGUCGCUUUCGCUGGUUGACAACAUCGCCGUUGUUAACUGUGUGAGUAGCUUGACGGGAGGCCAAAAUGAUACUUGGCUGUUGUCGGGUUUGUGUGCUCUCUGUCUGUACUCGGCCGAAGAUCUGAUUUGUGAGGGAAGAUACCUCACUCUGUAACACGGCUGCGUUUCUGUAGUUCCAACCACUUCAACAGAAUCACGUCUCUCUAGCCGAUCACGUCUAUUUCAGUCAAAUUUAACACAAGCGUUCUUCAUCCUUCAUAUCGUUAUCAAUAAUCAAAGACGAUCGAGUUAAUAGUUUUGGACCAAGACCUUCAGUAUUUGGGUGAAGUCGCUUGUGACAAACGUUUGCCAAAGUCCGAAGUGCCAGAUAUAUAUAUUAGGUCAUAUAUUUUGCUGCUAUGUGAAUAUAAGUAUCGGCAGAUAACCGAUAUUAAAGGACUCAGAUCAGCCAUCCCUACUCAUCGGUGUGAAGAUGACACUCUGACCUUUGCUCUGCCCCCCCAACCCCCCACCCAUCCAUCUUUCUUAACAAAGAUCUGUAUGUAUAUGUUUUUUGAUACGUGCCCUGCCUCACUCUCUCCUCAUUCUCUCUCUCUCUCUCUCUCUCUCUCUCUCUCUCUCUCUUUCACACAUACAGUCUGUAGGGUUCAGUUGUGGGUUGAGCCCUAGAUCGAGAUUACUGUCUGCCGAUAUCCACCGUUUAUAAACUUGAUACAUUUUAUACCAAAGAAUUGACUGUUUUUCUCUAGAAACACCAAAAAGUUACCACUGCAAAAAAAAAUAAAGUUUUGCUAGUUGUUCUCUUAUAACAGAUGACCCUCCUGUUGAGUUGUAGGUUAUAUAAUACAUCUUUUAAAUCAUGAAGAAUUCACUUAAAACAAACAAACAUUACUAAGUAUUAAAUGUGUAAGGAUGUACUGUUAAUUCUUGCAGUCCCAGUACAGGUCUGGGGUCUGAUUCCCAGUAUGAAUCAAUAUUUUUUUCAUCAGAAUACACUGUGUUUAUGAGUAAACCAGUCAUGCAGUAAGACAAACUAGUAAGUGAACCCAGUGAACCUCUGCACUGUAGCUCUGUGUUACCUGAUUAUUAAGGUUUUUUUUUGUCAGAUGAGCACAGGAGCUAUUGAUUUUUUUUUAAACUGGCAACAGACCAUCUGGAUAACAGUAGACUAAUGGAGCUGCUCGGUCCACUGUGGAAGAUUGGCCGAAGCCCCCAAAACGACCUCCAAAUUGUGCGCUGACCUUGUGGACGCAGCCUCAGAGCUCAUCUCAUCACUGUUAAGUUGAUAGAUGGCGCAGCUAAAGGCGACUGACGACAGCCGAACCCCCCCCCCCGCCGCCCGCUGCAGAGAUGCUCGAGAUUUUUCUUUUUCUUUUUUUUUUUUUUCCAUAACUAUGACGCCUCCUCGUCCUAGCAAAAAAAAUUUGGGGGUCUUUAUGACAAAAAAUGUUGCAGAGAAGUCAAACAUCAUCCUCCAAAGACAACGACAACAACAUGAUGGAUGAUUCACAUGAGUAAAUGACAGCUGACCUUUUUUUUUUUCACAUAACACCUAUAUGUUAAACGAAGAUGAAAACGUAUGUUGACAGAGAGAUAUUUGUUGAACGGAUGCAUUAAUCAACUUAAUGAAUGACCUCAGUAGCACAACUGAUGUUUUGCAUAAACCUGUCAUGAUGAUUAUUAGAAGGCAUGAAGCUGCUCAUGUGAACCCCCCCCCCGCCCCCCCGUCAGACUAUAUUUGAACACACAUGAAAAAUGGCUUUUAUUUCACACUUUUAUGAUUUUUACACCCCUGCUGGGAUCAGUGAGAGCUGUGACACCACAGCUAGAGCCGAAACAAUGAGCUAAAACAGGCUAAACUAACUUUAAACCCAAAGAUAUUACAAAACGUCUGCAUCAUGUGUCGUCUGCUUUCUCUCCGUUAACAUCUAUAAAACUGAAUUUUGUGUGACUACUUUAAUAAUUCUGUUAAUCCAGGUUGUUGAGCCUUCCUUUUCUUUUCCUCCUUUUUUUUUCAUUUUUAUCACUUCAUCAUCUCCUCUUACACUGUUCUUAUCUCUCUCUCAUCUCCUGAACUCAGUUUCUCAGGUGCUGCCUUGAAAGUCUUUAAAUCCGCAGAUGUUACAAAAAAAGCUUUUCUUUAUGUCUUUAUGUGUGUGUGUGAAGUUAAAUGUGUGUGUGUCUAUUUUUUCUUAAGAGGGGUCUGUACAGAUGGCUGUGGCUAAUGUAUUUAUUUAUUCAUCUUUUAGUAGAUUAAAUGUUAAUCUCAAAAUUUAUAAAACUGUGAACAACGUAGCUAAAUAAAGUAUUACUAAGUGAAAUGCUUUAAUCGUUCGACCUCAUCUUUUUUUUUUUAAAUUUGGCAUCUAGGCGAGAUUCGUUGUAAAAAAGGCAGACGAGACCAGACAGGCAGACGGAACAGAAGUAGAGCAUUUAAUUAGAAAGUUUCUCCUUUACUCAGCCAACUGGACCAAGAACUGAACUCAGCUAAGGAUGAGAUCUCAGAGAAACAAGAGGACGAACGGAAGGACAGAUGAUUAUCGCAGCGAUCAGGGGCAUCGUGGGUCUUGAUCGCCGGAGUGAAAGAGUGAACCGUCCUCUCCGGCAGCCGUGUAAAAACACAGUUAUUUAUAUAGUGAUGAUUAGGGGGAGGGAGCAACAGUCUGCCCAUAUAGUCUCUUUAUGGGGACACAGCGCAGGUUCCCACAAGGUAAGUCUUUUAACUUUUAGCAUUAAGACUGUUUUUUUUCAUUGGGUUAGUUUUAGAUUAGGCAUGUAGUGGCUCUGUCUGUUAUAGGGUUUGUCUUCAGUGAAUUGAUAUACGUUAAAGGUCUUCAUAAGUGACUAAAAUGACUGUCGUAUGUGUGUGUGUAUGUGUGGACACUCUUGAACUUCUAUCUCUGCAAGGGCUGGUUUUACACCUCAAAAGUGGCUACAUGAGGAUCUCAAUCCCCAAGGCCUCCACCUCCCUCACACAAAAAUCUCAUCUAAAAGGAAGACAAAGAUGAGGUUGAGACAAAGAAAAAGGUUAUUUUGUACCAGCUGGAUAGAAUAUGUAAUCCAGCUGCAUUGUCUGAGUUCCCCUUCCUACUCCAUCCUACCUGGUCAUAGCCAGCACCUGACUGGACCCCCCCCCCCCCCUGUAUUUUCAUUCUAAUCACAGUGAGACAUCCUCGACGUGUCACAGAGCCUAGAAACAUGCUGGACGUUCACAUCAGUCCACUAUAUGACACAUGUUUUCAAGUAAUGUAAGUCAUUGCAAUGUUCUCCAAAAGUGCUGCUAAAUCUGAAAUUCACAGCGACUUUAUGCAGUGAUUGGACAGGUGUGCAGAGGUGAGAACGUUGGCAGGGUUUGAGCCAGAGAGGCAGAGUUUUUUCAGUCUUAACACAACUAUUUUAGGCACUUUUCAUAUGUAAGAAUUGCAACACUAUGAACGCCUUCCAGGAGAGACUGAAAAUAUGCUCCCAUGUUAUCCCCCUUCUAACAAUUAUCACGUCUCUCCCCAUUCUCACCUCGCCUUCGAGUGUGACUGUUUAUGACAGCUGCCUUCCAAUAUGGUCAAACUAGUUCUUUUCAAGCAUACCCCCAUUUUAAGACUGGCAUUUGGUGAGGUUAAAGGACAGGUUCACAUUUUUUCAAUCACAUUUUUUUUUUAAUCAUUCCUCCUUUU
Molecule: long non-coding RNA, 4066 nt
Organism: Thunnus maccoyii (southern bluefin tuna)
Lineage: Eukaryota; Metazoa; Chordata; Actinopteri; Scombriformes; Scombridae
Exons: 3
Source: RefSeq, a predicted model, not a curated record